RNAcentral lists this ribosomal RNA (225 nucleotides) under uncultured bacterium. RNAcentral's name for it is "partial 16S rRNA". It matches the Rfam family "Bacterial small subunit ribosomal RNA", at positions 505 to 729 of the family's 1533-position model. The record is from RNAcentral.
GUGUCAGCCGCCGCGGUAAUACGGAGGUGGCAAGCGUUGUCCGGAUUUACUGGGCGUAAAGGAUGUGUAGGCGGAUAUUUAAGUGAGAUGUGAAAUCCCCGGGCUUAACUUGGGGGCUGCAUUUCAAACUGGUUGUCUAGAGUGCAGGAGAGGAAAGCAGAAUUCCUAGUGUAGCGGUGAAAUGCGUAGGUGUAAGGAAGAAUAACAGUGGCGAAAGCGGCUUUC